AGAUUGAACGCUGGCGGCAUGCCUAACACAUGCAAGUCGAGCGGCAGCGCGGGGGCGACCCUGGCGGCGAGCGGCGGACGGGUGAGUAAGGCAUCGGAAUCUGCCCUGAUGUGGGGGAUAACGUAGGGAAACUUACGCUAAUACCGCAUACGCCUACGGGUAAGACGGGGAGUCGUAAGACCUCGCGCUGGUGGAUGAGCCUACGUCCGAUUAGUUAGUUGGUGGGGUAAAGGGCCGUACCAAGGCUACGAUCGGUAGCUGGUCUGAGAGGACGACCAGCCACACUGGGACUGAGACACGGCCCAGACUCCUACGGAGGGCAGC
RNAcentral lists this ribosomal RNA (324 nucleotides) under uncultured prokaryote. RNAcentral describes it as "bacterial SSU rRNA". It matches the Rfam family "Bacterial small subunit ribosomal RNA", at positions 26 to 352 of the family's 1533-position model. The record is from RNAcentral.